UACUAGUAUCAGAUCAAUAUAUGCGUUUGAUUGUGUGUUGGAAAAAGCGUAUGAUUUUUGGCAUGAGGUUGGACUGGAUGAAUUUUUUUCUAUAACAAAAACUAGUAUAGAUAAAUUAUAAGGAAAAAUCCUUUUUUUUUUUUUGAGAAACGGGAAAAAUUCCUAUGAAUUGCAAUCCUACGAAUCAAAUAACCCACGUGAACAAAAUACUAAGAAUUAAAAUCCCCCAGGAUUUCUUUAUAAAUCCUUGAACCAAAGAAGUGGGCUUCCCUUUAGAAAAAAAAGAAGUGGGCUUGCAAAUCCUAUCACGUGACCUAUUUAUCCUCUCAGAUUUGGGCCAUUGAGAAAAUCUGAGCCCAACCUAUUUUCUCUACUUGGGAUUGGACCGGCAGGAGCAGGCUCCAGCCCAUACGCCACAUUCCGAUCGGUGGCGCCGCUCCGCUGCCCAGCGCCUCUCCGCGCAGUCCGGCGGCCGCAUCGCCUCCCGGCUCCCGCGAAAGCUAUCCAAGGCACGGCGAGAAGCAGCCAUUCUCGUGCUCAUCUCCCAGUUCACCACUCCCACGUAGAACGGCAGCUCGCAAGCCCUAGCGAAUCUCCCGAUCCGCAGCCACCCGGCGCGUGCCGGCGGCCGGAAUUGAACAGCGAUUAAUCUCGGGAAGCUUACGAACCGGCGGCUGGCGGCCGGUGUUAGCGCAUAUGUUUCGACAAUCUACAACUCGGAGCUAAAAUUUCGGCAAGGGACGGCGAGACACGCCCUUCAAGUCCUCUAAAUGCAAGGGAGACUUCAGUGACAGCCCUGUCUUCAGGCGAUGCCUUCCCACUUGCAGCAGGCCGUGCUGUUGUCAUGCCACGACAUGGCGAGGCCGCCAUAUCGCGACAGCCCAGAAAGGAAACGGAGGAGGUUGCACUUCUCCUGCUCGGUGCAUGCGGUGGCAGGAGAGGCCAAGAAGAGCUGCAGGAUCAGCUGCAGCACGACCGGAGGAAUGGUGAAUGAAUGCAUUGGUUGGUGCCCCCUCUCCCCCCUUUUGUUUUGAUGUUGCUUGAAGAAUGCAUGCAGUGCUGGUGGUAGUUAUCAUCUAGUAGUGGAUUUAUUUGCACAUCAGACCUACUGAACACCACACAUAAGAUUCCCUAUUUCAUGUCGUGGGUGCACCUUAGGACCCUGGUCCACGGUUGGUCGAUACACAAAAGACAGCAACACUAGGAUAGGAAAGCAACAUCCCUAUCAAUUAGCUGUAGUAAAAGGCUAUAAACUAGUUUAUAAUCUGUCAUUUAGUUAUGGAUGGAUUAAGUAGUUACCGAUUAGUCCCAAAUUUUCAAGUAGCGAGAAGCCAACCUAUUAUCUCGCUGCCCCAAGGUUCAUGUUUAAGUAUAAUAGCUGAAGAACAUAUUGGAAGGUUAAUUACUAGUUUGCUCAUCUUGCCUGUCCUAUUCAUGGCAUUGCUGCUCAAUAAUACAUAGAUAUAGGUGGUGGUCUUUGGUUACGGACUUACAGCACUAGUUUUGUUUACCGCAAGUGUCAGGCUGGCAUUGGUAGGCAGGCCCAAAGGGGGUACCAACCUACUAAUGGUCUUUGGUUACAGACUUACAACGCUAGUUUUAUUUACCGCAAGUGUCAGGCUGGCAUUGGUAGGCAGGACCAAAGGGGGUACCAACCUACUAAUUGUUGUGUUUUUCCCAUGGUUCAUGUCUAUGGUGGUAUUCUGCUCAUAAUUAUUAUGUGGAUUUCCCACCAGCUCUUUGACUCUUUGUAGCAGAUGAAUACAUAUCCAUGAUUUCAGUUUGAAAAAUUGCUUCAUGGUUCUGUUUUCUGACUUUUUGUAGCUAAUGAAUAAAUAUCCAUGAUUUCAGGUUGAAAAACCGCUUCAUGGUUGUGUUUUUCUCAUGCUUCCUGUUAGUUCCUCAGAAAUCAUAUUAAUGUCAUUUCCUUUGGGAGAAGUCUUGAACAAAAGCAGAAUUAAUGGUACAUAUCACAUAUGCAUCAUCCAUCAAUGUAAUAUUCCAGAUGCACAAAGAAUAGCCAUGGAUUAUUCCCCUGUUCUUUUUGUGCAUAGAAGCUUUGAGCUUCAACUUCCUAUGUCUGUUUUUUCUCUUGUUAUUUUGUUUUCUUUUUUGGACAGAAAAGUAGCAUGUAGAUGUCUUCCUAUCCUGCUUUCACUACUUGGCAGUUCGAGUUCACCUGUUAAACAAUUAGUCUUGAUUA
This is a long non-coding RNA of Aegilops tauschii subsp. strangulata, 2203 nucleotides long. RefSeq lists it as uncharacterized. The record is from RefSeq and is a predicted model, not a curated record. Lineage: Eukaryota; Viridiplantae; Streptophyta; Magnoliopsida; Poales; Poaceae.